AAGAUAUUUAGGACAGUCAGUACAAAAGUUUCUUAGCUUCUUCGUGUGAAAAGAGGGGUGAAUUUCAAUUAUGUAUUUUAUUAACGCAGCCUUUUUAGCUCUAUAAAAUGGUAACAAUGUUAAAAUCCCCUCCUGGGAAAUAAUGGCACAUAUGCCAUAGAGAGAGCGCUUGAGGAUGUUAUGAACUGCUGGUGGAAUUAACCAGUUGUUAAUCAGCUCUUUGCUUGCAUGCUGCUCCAGCCUAAACUGAAGAUGAUCAGAUGAUAACUUGGAAUCACAGAAUUGAGUUGGAAGGGAACCCAAAAAGGUCUUCUAGUCCAACUCCUCUGUCAUAGGGAAGGUCAUCCAGCCCAACUUGCAGUUUUGUUGUGAGCUUGGUGUCUAACAAGAUGUGCAAAGAAUUAUUAUUGUGAUUUAAAAACAGGGUAACUCGAAUUAAGCUUUCAUUUACAGGUGAGUCAACAGUGGGUUGGUGCUGAGGUGGGUCUGAGUGGGCACCACUGGCUGAUGGCGCACUGGUGACUCUUGCCAUGGGUUGGGUCAGUAACCACAGAGGCACCACAUGGUCACCUGAGUGUCACUGUUCCUGUGAUGCACUGCGUAGGGCACCCAGGAAAUAUUCAGAGCACCAGAGUCUGCUAGAAUGAUCCUGCAGGGCUCCUGAUGGGACGUAGCUUCAGAAGUGAAUGCAGUGACCCACGAGGCACGAACUCUGUGUGGUGACUGCACUACCUUGUUGUCUUCCACCUCCUUCCUUUGGAGACCUGAGAUCUGGCAGAGAAUGAAGGUAGAGAGGAGAUGCUGAAUCCAUGACACCACCAAAGACAACAGCUGGGCACUGUUUAAAGAAACAGUGUCUUGCAUCAUGAAACUGAAGGGAUGGAGGUUGGUCAGCUCCAGUUCCUUUAGUUAUUUUGUCCUAUUCUGAGGGCUGUUGCCCAAUGGAAGUGUUUGUGAGAAGUGAGGUGUAUCCUUCACAUCUGGGAGAUUCUUCAGGAGAAAUUUUCCUGUCUCCAGGAAGCCUGAAAUGCUGCAGUUCUUCUGAGCGGGCUCCUGCACGUUUUUGGCAAAUGAAGCAGAAUACAUUCGUGGGGCACAUCAAUGGCAGCAGUCUGUAA
RNAcentral lists this long non-coding RNA (1118 nucleotides) under Phasianus colchicus (ring-necked pheasant). Its description in RNAcentral is "lncRNA (ENSPCLG00000006245.1)". Lineage: Eukaryota; Metazoa; Chordata; Aves; Galliformes; Phasianidae. The record is from RNAcentral.